CGUGAGUGAUGAAGGCUCUCGGGUCGUAAAGCUCUGUCAAGCGGGAAGAACCCGCAUGAUGACAAUACCAUCAUGCGCUGACGGUACCGCUGAAGGAAGCACCGGCUAACUCCGUGCCAGCAGCCGCGGUAAUACGGGGGGUGCAAGCGUUAUUCGGAAUUAUUGGGCGUAAAGGGCGCGUAGGCGGCCUGGUUAGUCAGAUGUGAAAUCCCGGGGCUCAACCCCGGAAGUGCAUUUGAUACUGCCAGGCUUGAGUAUGGGAGAGGGAAGUGGAAUUCCUGGUGUAGCGGUGAAAUGCGUAGAUAUCAGGAGGAACACCGGUGGCGAAGGCGACUUCCUGGACCAAUACUGACGCUAAGGCGCGAAGGCGUGGGGAGCAAACAGGAUUAGAUACCCUGGUAGUCCACGCAGUAAACGGUGAACACUAGGUGUAGCGGGUAUUGACCCCUGCUGUGCCGCAGCUAACGCAUUAA
Molecule: ribosomal RNA, 473 nt
Filed under: uncultured delta proteobacterium
Lineage: Bacteria; Deltaproteobacteria
Description: bacterial SSU rRNA
Rfam family: Bacterial small subunit ribosomal RNA
Source: RNAcentral